Molecule: ribosomal RNA, 419 nt
Filed under: uncultured bacterium
Lineage: Bacteria
Description: bacterial SSU rRNA
Rfam family: Bacterial small subunit ribosomal RNA
Source: RNAcentral
AAGGAAUAUUGGUCAAUGGACGGAAGUCUGAACCAGCCAUGCCGCGUGCAGGAAGACGGUCCUCUGGAUUGUAAACUGCUUUUGUUAGGGAAGAAACUUCCGUACGUGUACGGGACUGACGGUACCUAAAGAAUAAGGAUCGGCUAACUCCGUGCCAGCAGCCGCGGUAAUACGGAGGAUCCAAGCGUUAUCCGGAUUUAUUGGGUUUAAAGGGUGCGUAGGCGGCGUUGUAAGUCAGUGGUGAAAGUUUGCAGCUUAACUGUAAAAUUGCCAUUGAUACUGCAGUGCUUGAGUAAAGAUGAGGUGGGCGGAAUGUGUCAUGUAGCGGUGAAAUGCAUAGAUAUGACACAGAACACCGAUUGCGAAGGCAGCUCACUAAACUAUAACUGACGCUGAGGCACGAAAGCGUGGGGAUCAAA